Long non-coding RNA from Exaiptasia diaphana, 138 nucleotides. RefSeq lists it as uncharacterized. The record is from RefSeq and is a predicted model, not a curated record. NCBI's taxonomy places the organism in Eukaryota, Metazoa, Cnidaria, Anthozoa, Actiniaria, Aiptasiidae. The transcript is spliced from 2 exons.
CACAACUGGCWCAGAAAACUACGGUAACGUCCAAAAAGAUGAAGGCGUUAGUCAUUGCAAUUGUUUCAKUAUUCACAAUUUCUUGCUAUGGGGAUUCAUUCAAUAGUGAGAUAUUGCAACGUCGUAAAAUAGUAAAAC